Molecule: transfer RNA, 71 nt
Filed under: Elusimicrobiota bacterium
Lineage: Bacteria; Pseudomonadati; Elusimicrobiota
Description: Elusimicrobia bacterium (hot springs metagenome) tRNA-Gln
Rfam family: tRNA
About the family: Transfer RNA (tRNA) molecules are approximately 80 nucleotides in length. Their secondary structure includes four short double-helical elements and three loops (D, anti-codon, and T loops).
Source: RNAcentral
UGGGGCGUGGCCAAGCGGUAAGGCACGAGCCUUUGGAGCUCGUAUCCCUGGUUCGAAUCCAGGCGCCCCAG